UCAUACUAACAGAGACCGAUUGCAAAACUAAAGCAGGUUAACAUGAAAAAUUUGGAUGUUGAUGGAUCUCUGACCUACAAGUCCCUAAAACCGUUGAUUCUAAUUUUAACAUGCCUGGGUUUAAAUGGAUUCAGCGUAAAGACGAUUGUUCAGGCGUUAGUUAGUGUGGUUUCUAUAAAUAGUAUGUUGGUACUUGUAGUCAACAUAGCGUGGUGUUUAGUUGGAGCAGAGACAGUUAUGGAUCAUAAAAAUAUUGCUAUCUACACUGGGUUGAUGCUUUCGUACAUUAUGUUAGUAAUCGUAAUAUUGUAUGGAAUGAUAUACGUUCCUUCAAAACUAUAUUUGUUAGUUAAAGCAUGUGAUGAACUCCGAUCUGAUCCUCAAUUUGAUGUGUCUUAUGAAAACAUAAGAAAAUUUACCAAAGGUAUGGUGAUUAUUAUUGUGGUAGCCUGUUUCAUGGUGAUGUUUUCUCAGAUUUUUUUCACUCCUGCUUUCACGAACGAUUAUAUAUGUCUCAUGUCACCUGUGAGGGCUGGUUCGUGGUAUUACUGGAUUAACAUUGUGAAUAUCUUCCCUGCUGCUGCCCUUUUCUUUGGACAUAAAUUUAUUAUUAUCCUGACAAUAGGCGUACUGUGUAAAAUUGUUACGAUAGAGUUCACUGCAUGCAACACCGGGUUCAGGAAAAUGUUGGAUUCAGAUCAAACUACUGAGAAGGUCGAGAUGAUACGAAAACGAUACUUCGCUAUUACCAAAUUCGCAGAACAAGUAGACGAUUUCCUGAAUCCAUAUGUAGUACUAGAAAUUGGUGUAUCCUUUACAGGAGUGUGUUUGUAUAUACAUGCUCUAGCCUACGGUAAUACCAGUCUUGUAAUCUUCCUUGUCUGGGUUGGAAUGCUGUUUUUGCUACGUCGGAAAUGCUGUUAGUUUUAAAAUUUGGAGUAGCAUUAAAUGAAAGUACAAAACUGUGUUUAGAGACGACGAAAUAUUUGGAUGGGAGAAAAAUGAAUCAGGAAACAAUUUCUCUGGUCACCUUGUUUAUAGAAAACAUGAGAAGUGGAGAUGUCGGUCUGACUUUCAUGAAAUUAUUUAUUCUCGAUAAAACUACCAUGGUAACGGUGUUCGGGACGUUGAUCUCCUAUAUAAUAGUUAUCAUGCAGUUUAAACCAAGUUAAAGUACUGUUUAAUGUUUCAAUACGCCAUUUUAGCGGUAUAGGAAACAAUAUUGUAAAAGAUGAUUCUCUUAUAGACCCUACAGUCUUAAAAUGGAUCAAUUUUGUUGUGUGCUGCCUCGAUAUGUAAUAAGCCCGCCGUCAUUUUGUUGUCCUCUUGACAUUUAUUGGCAUGCCUGUUUUAAAUCGAAUCCAACCCGGGACAUAAUCUAGCGUUAGUAUUUUGCCAUUGUUCUCUUACUCAUAUAUUAAAACAAUCCAAGCCGGGGCAUUAUCUAGCGUUAGUAUUUUGAUUUUGUUCUCCUAAUCAUAUAUUAAAUAAUCAACCUCUGUACAUAUUAUCAUUGAUUAGGACAUUAGAAAUCUUGAUGUUUAAACAUACAUUAUGCAAGAGCUAAAUCUGCCAAUUGCAGGGCUUUCUUUGGGCUUGAAAUUUUAUCUAAAUUAUUAAUUAGACAUUAAUUAACUUAUCCAGACCAUAAUCAACUCUCGAUGCGAUAUUUACUGCAUAUUUGUU
This is a long non-coding RNA of Patella vulgata (common limpet), 1686 nucleotides long. RefSeq lists it as uncharacterized. NCBI's taxonomy places the organism in Eukaryota, Metazoa, Mollusca, Gastropoda, Patellidae. The record is from RefSeq and is a predicted model, not a curated record. The transcript is spliced from 4 exons.